Molecule: unclassified non-coding RNA, 377 nt
Filed under: uncultured Pseudomonadota bacterium
Lineage: Bacteria; Pseudomonadati; Pseudomonadota
Description: uncultured proteobacterium contains 16S-23S intergenic spacer region
Source: RNAcentral
UCCGGUUUGUCACCGGCAGUCUCGCUAAAGUGCCCAACUAAAUGAUGGCAAUUAACGACAAGGGUUGCGCUCGUUGCGGGACUUAACCCAACAUCUCACGACACGAGCUGACGACAGCCAUGCAGCACCUGUGUUCCGGCUCCCUUUCGGGCACCCCCACCUCUCAGCAGGAUUCCGGACAUGUCAAGGGUAGGUAAGGUUUUUCGCGUUGCAUCGAAUUAAUCCACAUCAUCCACCGCUUGUGCGGGUCCCCGUCAAUUCCUUUGAGUUUUAACCUUGCGGCCGUACUCCCCAGGCGGGAUGCUUAAUGCGUUAGCUGCGCCACCAACAAGCAUGCUUGCUGACGGCUAGCAUCCAUCGUUUACGGCGUGGACUAC